This 587-nucleotide ribosomal RNA is filed under the name Hydrochus flavipennis. RNAcentral's name for it is "LSU rRNA". It matches the Rfam family "Eukaryotic large subunit ribosomal RNA", at positions 683 to 1226 of the family's 3401-position model. Lineage: Eukaryota; Metazoa; Arthropoda; Insecta; Coleoptera; Hydrochidae. The record is from RNAcentral.
UGCGCGAGUCAUUGGGACUAGCGAAACCUAAAGGCACAAUGAAAGUGAAGGUCGGCCUCGCGCUGACCGAGGGAGGAUGGGUGGCGGUACACGCCGCCCCGCACUCCCGGGGCGUCUCGUUCUCAUCGCGAGAAGAGGCGCACCCAGAGCGUACACGCUGGGACCCGAAAGAUGGAGAACUAUGCCUGGUCAGGACGAAGUCAGGGGAAACCCUGAUGGAGGUCCGUAGCGAUUCUGACGUGCAAAUCGAUCGUCGGAACUGGGUAUAGCGGCGAAAGACUAAUCGAUCUAUCUAGUAGCUGGUUCCCUCCGAAGUUUCCCUCAGGAUAGCUGGCGCUCGCAUUGCGAGUCUCAUCCGGUAAAGCGAAUGAUUAGAGGCAUUGGGGUCGAAACGGCCUCAACCUAUUCUCAAACUUUAAAUGGGUGAGAUCUCCGGCUUGCUCGAACUUGAAGCCGCGAGAAUUUUACACAAGGAUCAGAGUGCCAAGUGGGCCACUUUUGGUAAGCAGAACUGGCGCUGUGGGAUGAACCAAACGCCGAGUUAAAGCGCCUAAAUCGACGCUUAUGGGAUACCAUGAAAGGCGUUG